This 1130-nucleotide long non-coding RNA is filed under the name Fukomys damarensis (Damara mole-rat). RNAcentral describes it as "lncRNA (ENSFDAG00000026842.1)". Lineage: Eukaryota; Metazoa; Chordata; Mammalia; Rodentia; Bathyergidae. The record is from RNAcentral.
GGCUGGAUUCCCUGCCAGCAUGGAAUGAGGCAGGCAUUGUGGGGGAAGUGGUGGUUGAGCCACUUCCUGUGGGUGUCUCAGGGCUCACCUGGCUCCUUUCCCAGGGCAGAGGUUGAGCAGCAGCACUGCGUUUCAUGCAAAGACCCGGGGGUUCAAAGCCGCGUGGCUUCUGCGGGUCCCACAGGCCGGGCUGUGGUGCGGCUGGUGUCUGUGUGCUCAGCUGAUUCCGAGAUGGCCCCUGCUCAAGUCUGCUGGCAAAGGCGGCGGAGUUCGGCGCGGGAGCUUUUUACCAGCGCAGGGAUGUGGAGGGAGAGAGCUCAGCAGCGCUGGUCCUGUUCAUUCGAUCCAUUCAUCAGUGUUGGAGAGAGGCGCAGAGGAUGCAGGAGGCUUGGGGGUUAAGGAACCUGUCCAAGCAGCAUGGAGAGGAGGCGGUGCCACCAGGAAUCAAUAGUGUCAUUUUGGGGCAGGGGAUUUAGCUCAGUGAUUCCGCUGCCUGCCUCGGUACCCCCCCAAAAGUGUCAUUUUGGAGUUCAUAAACUUCACCAUGUUUGCCUCUCCAGUGACCUCGAGUCGUAGGGAUUUUCCCUGCCUGCUCUGGGGUUUGACACAGGGUUUAAGACCAAGCAGUGCACAAGUGUCAAUCCGUAACCCAACCGUGGUCAGCAGAGCUGUUUGCGCAUCCGGCCCACAGGGGGCGCAGCUCUGAAAGCGUGAAGUGGGCAGGGUUAGGGUCUAACCCUAAACCAGUGUCUUCUGUAGGCUGCGGCUACCACAUUAGCCUUAACCACCAUCCCUAGGAUGUGCCAUCCCUCCACGAUGGCAAGGAUGCUGGUGUUUCGUCCCCACAUCCCUGGUCACCACAACAGUGCCGGCCACACAAGGCCCGCAGUGGGCCUUGUUGAACUUAAGCUGUCCGCAGGUGGCACAGGGCGACAUGGGAGUUCUCACACACACCCCUGGCCAUGGGCAUUCGUCCACUACCUGGACACGCACACGUGCAUGCACGGCAGCUGUGUCUGAGUCAGCAGACGUGGGGGAGAGCUAUGCCCUGGCCGGACCAGUGUGAGGAAACCGCACUGGUUCACAGCAGGGCGCACGUGAGCCGGCCAGCCAUUUUUUUUCCAGCAGGG